Molecule: long non-coding RNA, 1133 nt
Filed under: Gallus gallus (chicken)
Lineage: Eukaryota; Metazoa; Chordata; Aves; Galliformes; Phasianidae
Source: RNAcentral
AAAAGGGCAUUGCUGCCCUCGAUGAGGGGGUGGGAACCCCCCAGAACAGCCCAGAGAACCCUACAAACACCCGCACAGAGUCCAAAGCAGCCCCCCCUUCCCCCUCCCAUACACACACUCUCCCCAUGGAACAAUCAGGCACAGAGCCAGCUUUGGUCUCAAGUCCUUUAUUCAGACUGAACUCAGGGACAUUUGCAGCCCGGGGACAUUUCCAGCUAUCUUCUCCUUACAUGGGCUUGGGGGGAGGCCGUGGGGCUGCACCCGCUGGCCUGAAGCGGGGCGGGGGGGUCCGGUCCUUGCGGGCCUCCCGUGAGCGGUUCCUCACCACCUUACUGUGGAUGGCACAGCUGACGCAGUAGUGCAGCUUCACGUACAGCUUGGGCAGGACAUAGGAGUCGAAGACGCUGGCCUCCGAGAUGUCCCUGACGGCUGCAGCCUCCACGAUGUUCCUGAUGACGAACUUCUUGAUGGCUUUGUCCUUGGGGACGCAGCGGGCGCAGUUGGUGCAGCGGAUGGGCUGGACGUGGCCGCGGCCCUUCUUGGCCCGACCGUUGUUCCUCCUCUUCUUCGUCAUCGCGCUCCCGGGGGCGGCGGAAGAGGGCCCGGCCACGCGCCGCCGCCUUUAUAUAGCAGCGCUCCGCCCGGAAGUGGCUCCUGUGCCGCCCGGAAGUGGCCUCUGCGCCGUCCGCAGCGCCCCGCAGCGCCGUUCCGGGCCUUCAACGCGGCCCCGGUUUUGGGGUGGAGAGGAGCGGGGGUGGGGUCGGGUCCGGUGCUGGGAGGGUUGGGGGAGAGGGGAUCGGGACUACUUUUCCUGCGGGCGGCGGAGGGAUCCGCGCAGUGCGUGACGGUGAGGUGACUGCGUGCGUCGCGUGCGGCACGUGGUGCGUGUGCGCCGCGGGGGACGCUGGGAAAUGUAGUCCGGGGGGGGAGAAGAAGGCGGUAACGCGCGGCUCGGAGGGCAGCGCGGGGGUCCUGGGUCACGUGGCCUGCGCCCCCCCCCCCUCCCAAAGUAUCCUGAGCCCCAUCUGAAGUGCCCCUCAUCCCCUAAAGUACAUCCUGCACCCCCAAAAGGGUCCUACAGCCCCCCCAAAUCUGUCCGCCCCCAACCCUGGGGUGUCCCAUCCACCCCCCCC